Molecule: non-coding RNA, 72 nt
Organism: Daphnia pulex (common water flea)
Lineage: Eukaryota; Metazoa; Arthropoda; Branchiopoda; Diplostraca; Daphniidae
Source: Rfam
GGCUCAUUGGUCUAGUGGUAUGAUUCUUGCUUGGGGUGUAAGAGGCACUGGGUUCAAAUCCCGGAUGGGCCC